RNAcentral lists this ribosomal RNA (432 nucleotides) under uncultured bacterium. RNAcentral describes it as "bacterial SSU rRNA". It matches the Rfam family "Bacterial small subunit ribosomal RNA", at positions 46 to 525 of the family's 1533-position model. The record is from RNAcentral.
GCCUAACACAUGCAAGUCGAACGAACCUUCGGGUUAGUGGCGGACGGGUGAGUAACGCGUGAGAAUCUGCCCUCAGGAGGGGGAUAACGGCUGGAAACGGCCGCUAAUACCCCAUAUGCCGCGAGGUGAAAUGAAUUUCGCCUGAGGAUGAGCUCGCGUCUGAUUAGCUAGUUGGUGGGGUAAAGGCCUACCAAGGCAUCGAUCAGUAGCUGGUCUGAGAGGAUGAUCAGCCACACUGGGACUGAGACACGGCCCAGACUCCUACGGGAGGCAGCAGUGGGGAAUUUUCCGCAAUGGGCGAAAGCCUGACGGAGCAACGCCGCGUGAGGGAUGAAGGCCUCUGGGCUGUAAACCUCUUUUAUCAAGGAAGAAGAUCUGACGGUACUUGAUGAAUAAGCCACGGCUAAUUCCGUGCCAGCCGCCGCGGUAAUA